GGGGGGGGGGGGGGGGGGGCGGGGGGGGGGCGGGGCGGGGGGGGGGGCGGGGAGCGGGGGGGUCUGAGGUUGGCGGCGGGCGGGUGAGUAACACGUGGGUCGCCUCCCGAUAAGACUGGGGUGACUGCGGGAAACCGGAGCUAAUCCCGGCUAAUAUUUUGAACCGCAUGGUUCAAAAGUGAAAGACGGUCUUGCUGUCCCUUAUAGAUGGAUCCGCGCUGCAUUAGCUAGUUGGUAAGGUAACGGCUUACCAAGGCAACGAUGCAUAGCCGACCUGAGAGGGGGAUCGGCCACACGGGAACUGAGACACGGGCCAGACUCCUACGGGAGGCAGCAGUAGGGAAUCUGCCGCAAUGGGCGAAAGCCUGACGGAGCAACGCCGCGUGAGUGAUGAAGGUCUUCGGAUCGUAAAACUCUGUUAUUAGGGAAGAACAUAUGUGUAAGUAACUGUCCACAUCUUGACGGUACCUAAUCAGAAAGCCACGGCUAACUACGUG
RNAcentral lists this ribosomal RNA (497 nucleotides) under uncultured bacterium. RNAcentral describes it as "partial 16S ribosomal RNA". The stretch from base 54 to 497 matches the Rfam family "Bacterial small subunit ribosomal RNA", at positions 39 to 507 of the family's 1533-position model. The record is from RNAcentral.